AGCGAACGCUGGCGGCAGGCUUAACACAUGCAAGUCGAACGGGCGUAGCAAUACGUCAGUGGCAGACGGGUGAGUAACGCGUGGGAACGUACCUUUUGGUUCGGAACAACUGAGGGAAACUUCAGCUAAUACCGGAUAAGCCCUUACGGGGAAAGAUUUAUCGCCGAAAGAUCGGCCCGCGUCUGAUUAGCUAGUUGGUAGGGUAAUGGCCUACCAAGGCGACGAUCAGUAGCUGGUCUGAGAGGAUGAUCAGCCACAUUGGGACUGAGACACGGCCCAAACUCCUACGGGAGGCAGCAGUGGGGAAUAUUGGACAAUGGGCGAAAGCCUGAUCCAGCCAUGCCGCGUGAGUGAUGAAGGCCCUAGGGUUGUAAAGCUCUUUUGUGCGGGAAGAUAAUGACGGUACCGCAAGAAUAAGCCCCGGCUAACUUCGUGCCCAGCAGCCGACGGUAAGCUACGUAGA
RNAcentral lists this ribosomal RNA (463 nucleotides) under uncultured bacterium. Its description in RNAcentral is "bacterial SSU rRNA". It matches the Rfam family "Bacterial small subunit ribosomal RNA", at positions 29 to 531 of the family's 1533-position model. The record is from RNAcentral.